UGGAAUUCACAUGUGGAAUUU
Molecule: non-coding RNA, 21 nt
Filed under: Caenorhabditis elegans
Lineage: Eukaryota; Metazoa; Nematoda; Chromadorea; Rhabditida; Rhabditidae
Source: RNAcentral